Molecule: ribosomal RNA, 463 nt
Filed under: uncultured bacterium
Lineage: Bacteria
Description: partial 16S ribosomal RNA
Rfam family: Bacterial small subunit ribosomal RNA
Source: RNAcentral
GCCAGACUCCUACGGGAGGCAGCAGUGGGGAAUAUUGCACAAUGGGGGGAACCCUGAUGCAGCGACGCCGCGUGGGUGAAGGAGCACCUCGGUGCGUAAAGCCCUAUCGGCAGGGAAGAAAAGCGAACAGGUUCGCCUGGACGGUACCUGACUAAGAAGCCCCGGCUAACUACGUGCCAGCAGCCGCGGUAAUACGUAGGGGGCAAGCGUUAUCCGGAUUCACUGGGUGUAAAGGGAGCGCAGGCGGCGCGCCAAGUCUGAUGUGAAACCCCGGGGCUCAACCCCGGGCAUGCAUUGGAAACUGGCGGGCUGGAGUGCCGGAGAGGUAAGCGGAAUUCCUAGUGUAGCGGUGAAAUGCGUAGAUAUUAGGAGGAACACCAGUGGCGAAGGCGGCUUACUGGACGGCAACUGACGCUGAGGCUCGAAAGCGUGGGGAGCAAACAGGAUUAGAUACCCUCGUACG